Molecule: long non-coding RNA, 687 nt
Organism: Parus major (Great Tit)
Lineage: Eukaryota; Metazoa; Chordata; Aves; Passeriformes; Paridae
Exons: 5
Source: RefSeq, a predicted model, not a curated record
UAGCUUUGUAAGAACGCUUUAUUUUUCUGGUGCUGCAGGCUGCAACUUUCACACUCUGAGACUAAAUCCCUUUCGCAUCGUCCAGGUCCUGGGGAGAGACAUUUAUUUAAAAGUAGCUGAAAUGAAGCACAGAAACAAACUGUGCCUUUGUUCCCAGAAAUGGUCUGAAUGAAACCUGGGAUUAUGAAUUCUUUCCCACGUCAUGCUGAACCUUGGGAAGCUUUCCAUACAGCAGGCUCGGAGUCAGGGGACCAUUAAAAGCUUUCAGCUCGGCUUUGCAGUAUGCAAGAGACAAGUGACAAAAGUCAUCCCUUCCCCUAUUUCAUCCAGAAGCUUGCAGAGCUGUUUUUCUUUGGAGCAGGAGCUUGAAAAUCAGCUGGCUAUUACCUGGCAGCCAGGUUAUGGCUUCUUAAAAGAGACCUUUUGAAAUCCCUGAGCAUUGCUGUCUGCACAUUCUCAAGCUGUUAAACUCUUUUGAAGACAAGGCUUCAGCAGUCAUUUGGAAGUGCUCUUCCAGGCUGACCAAGGGAUUUGGAUCUGGUUGUCUGCAACAACUACUACAAACCAGCCUGUGAAUGAAAGCUGGAUGAAGAAUUUCCUGCCUGCUCUGUUUUGGUGAAGCAGCAAAGAAGGAGGGGGAAUACUGCUUUUAAAGAGAUAACUGUAUUAAAACACAUUUGGCUUCAC